RNAcentral lists this signal recognition particle RNA (317 nucleotides) under Myotis davidii. RNAcentral describes it as "Metazoan signal recognition particle RNA". It matches the Rfam family "Metazoan signal recognition particle RNA". Rfam says of the family: The signal recognition particle (SRP) is a universally conserved ribonucleoprotein. It is involved in the co-translational targeting of proteins to membranes. The eukaryotic SRP consists of a 300-nucleotide 7S RNA and six proteins: SRPs 72, 68, 54, 19, 14, and 9. The record is from Rfam by way of RNAcentral. Lineage: Eukaryota; Metazoa; Chordata; Mammalia; Chiroptera; Vespertilionidae.
GCCGGAUGCGGUGGCGCGCGCCUGUAGUCCCAGCUACUCGGGAGGCUGAGGAUCGAGAAUCGCAGAUCGCUUGAGCCCAGGAGUUCUGGGCUGUAGUGUGCUAUGCCAAUCGGGUGUCCGCCCUAAGUUCGGCAUCAAUAUGGUGACCUCCGGGGGGGGGGCGAGGGGGGGCCACCAGGUUGCCUAAGGAGGGGUGAACCGUCGUCCCAGGUCGGAGACAGAGCAGGUCAAAGCUCCCCUGCUGAUCAGUAGUGGGAUCGCGCCUGUGAAUAGCCACUGCACUCCAGCCUGGGCAACAUAGCGAGACCCCGUCUCUA